RNAcentral lists this transfer RNA (65 nucleotides) under Bolanusoides shaanxiensis. RNAcentral describes it as "tRNA-Ser". The record is from RNAcentral. Lineage: Eukaryota; Metazoa; Arthropoda; Insecta; Hemiptera; Cicadellidae.
AGGUAUUUAGUUUAAAAAUAAAACAAUUAUUUUGAAAAUAAAAAAUAGAUUAAAUUUAAUAUCUU